RNAcentral lists this long non-coding RNA (1936 nucleotides) under Homo sapiens (human). RNAcentral's name for it is "non-protein coding lnc-CLRN2-1:1". Lineage: Eukaryota; Metazoa; Chordata; Mammalia; Primates; Hominidae. The record is from RNAcentral.
GGCUUAACAUCACACAUUUAUUUUCUCUGUUCUGGAGGCUGAAAGUCCAAGACUGAGGCUCCAGUCAAUUCCAUCUCUUGUGAGGGCUCUCUUCUCAGCUUGUGGACGGCAGCCUCCUUGCUGUGUCCUCACACAGACUUUCCUCAGUGCAUGCGUGUGGGAAGAAAGUGAGAGGGAGAACUCUGGUGUCUGUCCUCAUAAGAACACUAAUCCUGUUGAAUCAGUGCCCAUCCUCACGAACCCAUUUCAUCUUAGUUACUUCCUUAGAGGCCCCAUCUCCAAAUACAGCCACAUUAGAGUGAGGUCUUGAACAUACAAAUUUGGGGGAGACACCCACAUUCAGUUCAUAACACUACCAUUUCUGAAAUUGCAAUCCCAAUCUCCCCAACACUCCUUCACCCCCUUACCUUGCUCUCUUCCCCCCACAGUUCACCUUUCUCGUACUCUCCAAUGAAUUCAUAUUAUGAAUUCUAUUGUUUAUUAUCUGUCACCCUCUCCCCCAUCUAGAAUAAAACUCAAUGAUUAAGGGUAGGAGUCUUUGUCUACUUGUUCUUUAUGUGUCCCAGGCAUCUAGGUUAGUGCCUUGUACACAGUUGGUACUCAAGAUUAGCUGUUGAAUGAAUGAAGGAGAAAAAACAUCUCCUUCCUGGCCCCUUUUCCCUUUUCAUUCUCUUUGCACAUCACCAGGGAAGGAAAAGAAACACACCUCAAUAAUCAAUUAGUUUGAGGAGAGCUGUUUCUUCAUCUGAAAAUUGAAAACAACAAGACAUGCAAGGUACAGCAUGAGGUAAUGUGCUCAGGGUGCUUUCAACAGCUAGACUUGUAUACUAGUUCCAGCUGCGCAGCUCUCUAGCUAGGUGACUUUGAACAAGCAGUCCAACCUUCUGAGCUCCCAUUUUCUUUCCUGUAAUAGUUGGAUAAAAUCACCUCGUAGUGGCAAGAAUCAAGAGACUUCUCAAAAGUUAAACAUAGAGGCCAGGCGCAGUGGCUCACAGCUGUAAUUCUAAGCACUUUGGGAGGCCGAGGCAGGUGGAUCACUUGAGGUCUGGAGUUUGAAACCUGCCUGGCCAACAUGGUGAAACUCUGUCUCUUCCAUCUCUACUAAAAAUACAAAAAAAAAAAAAAAAAAUAGCCAGGUGUGGUGGUGGACACCUGUAGUCCUAGCUACUCGGGAGGCUGAGGCAGGAGAAUCACAUGAACCUGGGAGGUAGAGGUUACAGUGUGCUGAGAUCGCACCACUGCACUCCAGCCUGGGCAACAGAGCAAGACUCCAUCUCAAAAAAAAAAAAAAGAUAAACACAAAAAUUACCAUAUGGUCGAACAAUCCUGCUCCUAGGUAUAUAUCCAAAAUCAUUGAAAACAGAUACACAAACACUUAUACAUGAAUGUUCACAGCGGCAAUGCUCACAACAGCCAAAAGGUGGAAACAGCCCAAAUGUCUAUCAACAGAUCAGUAAACAAAAUUGCAGUGGAUACAUAUAAUGGAAUAUUAUGCCACAAAAAGAAAGAAAGUACUGAUACAUGAUGCAAUGGGGAAGAACAUGGAAAACAUAAAGCUAGGUAGAAGCAGCCAGAUACAAAAGGUCACAUACUGAUUCCAUUUAUACAAAAUACCCAGAACAGGCCAGGUGCAAUGGCUCACGCCUGUAAUACCAGCACUUUGGGAAGACAAGGCAGGAGGACUGCUUGAGUCCAGGAGUUUGAGACCAGCCCGGGCAACAUAGCAAGACCUGUCUCUACAAAAAACUUUAAAAAAUAUCUGGGUGUGGCAGCACGUGCCUGUAGUCUCAGCUCCUCGAGAGGCCAAGGUGGGAAGAUUGCUUGAGCCCAGGAAAUCGAGGCUGCAGUGAGCCAUGUUCAUGCCACUGUACUUCAGCCUGGGUAAGAGCAAGACUGUCUCAAAAAAAUAGUAAUACCCAGAAUUAAUUCACAGAAA